CCUACGGGAGGCAGCAGUGGGGAAUAUUGCGCAAUGGGCGGAAGCCUGACGCAGCGACGCCGCGUGGGGGAUGACGGCCUUCGGGUUGUAAACCUCCUUCAGCAGGGACGAAGCGAAAGUGACGGUACCUGCAGAAGAAGCACCGGCCAACUACGUGCCAGCAGCCGCGGUAAUGCGUAGGGUGCAAGCGUUGUCCGGAAUUAUUGGGCGUAAAGAGCUCGUAGGCGGUUUGUUGCGUCGGCUGUGAAAUCCCGAGGCUCAACCUCGGGUCUGCAGUCGAUACGAGCAAACUAGAGUGUUGCAGGGGAGACUGGAAUUCCUGGUGUAGCGGUGAAAUGCGCAGAUAUCAGGAGGAACACCGGUGGCGAAGGCGGGUCUCUGGGCAACAACUGACGCUGAGGAGCGAAAGCGUGGGGAGCGAACAGGAUUAGGUACCCUGGUAGUCCACGCCGUAAACGUUGGGCGCUAGGUGUGGGGCUCAUUCCACGAGUUCCGUGCCGCAGCUAACGCAUUAAGCGCCCCGCCUGGGGAGUACGGCCGCAAGGCUAAAACUCAAAGGAAUUGACGGGGGCCCGCACAAGCGGCGGAGCAUGUUGCUUAAUUCGAUGCAACGCGAAGAACCUUACCUAGGCUUGACAUGCACGGAAAUCUCCCAGAGAUGGGAGGUCCGUAAGGGCCGUGCACAGGUGGUGCAUGGUUGUCGUCAGCUCGUGUCGUGAGAUGUUGGGUUAAGUCCCGCAACGAGCGCAACCCUCGUUCUAUGUUGCCAGCACGUGAUGGUGGGGACUCAUAGGAGACUGCCGGGGUCAACUCGGAGGAGGGUGGGGGAUGACGUCAAAUCAUCAUGCCCCUUAUGUCUAGGGCUGCAAACAUGCUACAAUGGCCGGUACAAAGGGCUGCGAUACCGCGAGGGUGAGCGAUCCCAAAAGCCGUCUUCAGUUUCGGAUUGGGGUCUGCAACUCGACCCCAUGAAGUUGGAGUCCCUAGUAAUCGCAGAUCAGCAACGCCGCCGGGUGAAUACGGUC
This 1025-nucleotide ribosomal RNA is filed under the name uncultured bacterium. RNAcentral's name for it is "bacterial SSU rRNA". It matches the Rfam family "Bacterial small subunit ribosomal RNA", at positions 338 to 1373 of the family's 1533-position model. The record is from RNAcentral.